RNAcentral lists this ribosomal RNA (497 nucleotides) under uncultured bacterium. RNAcentral's name for it is "partial 16S ribosomal RNA". It matches the Rfam family "Bacterial small subunit ribosomal RNA", at positions 28 to 507 of the family's 1533-position model. The record is from RNAcentral.
GAUGAACGCUGGCGGCGUGCCUAAUACAUGCAAGUCGAGCGAACAGACGAGGAGCUUGCUCCUCUGACGUUAGCGGCGGACGGGUGAGUAACACGUGGAUAACCUACCUAUAAGACUGGGAUAACUUCGGGAAACCGGAGCUAAUACCGGAUAAUAUAUUGAACCGCAUGGUUCAAUAGUGAAAGACGGUUUUGCUGUCACUUAUAGAUGGAUCCGCGCCGCAUUAGCUAGUUGGUAAGGUAACGGCUUACCAAGGCAACGAUGCGUAGCCGAACUGAGAGGGAGACCGGCCAGACUGGAACUGAAACACGGUCCAGACCCUGGCGGGGGGCAGCAGUAGGGAAUCUUCCGGAAUGGGGGAAAGCGUGACGGGGCAGAACCGCGGAAGUGAUGAAGGUCUUCGGAUCGUAAAACGCUGUUAUUAGGAAAGAAAAAGAGGGUAAGUAACUAUGCACGUCUUGACGGUACCUAAUCAGAAAGCCACGGCUAACUACGUG